UACAGAGGGGGCAAGCGUUGUUCGGAAUUAUUGGGCGUAAAGGGCGCGUAGGCGGUGCGGUAAGUCACCUGUGAAAUCUCUGGGCUCAACUCAGAGUCUGCAGGCGAAACUGCCGUGCUUGAGUGUGGGAGAGGUGAGUGGAAUUCCCGGUGUAGCGGUGAAAUGCGUAGAUAUCGAGAGGAACACCUGCGGCGAAGGCGGGUUGCUGGGCUGAUACUGACGCUGAGGCGCGAAAGCCAGGGGAGCGAACGGG
Molecule: ribosomal RNA, 253 nt
Filed under: uncultured bacterium
Lineage: Bacteria
Description: partial 16S ribosomal RNA
Rfam family: Bacterial small subunit ribosomal RNA
Source: RNAcentral